This is a long non-coding RNA of Nematostella vectensis (starlet sea anemone), 425 nucleotides long. RefSeq lists it as uncharacterized. The record is from RefSeq and is a predicted model, not a curated record. The transcript is spliced from 2 exons. Lineage: Eukaryota; Metazoa; Cnidaria; Anthozoa; Actiniaria; Edwardsiidae.
UUAUUUAUGACUGUAGGUUCAGUUUCUGGGAGAGUAUCUGUACUUUUCUUGUCAUCGUCAGAACCAUCAUCAUCAGAUCCAUCAUUAUCAGAUCCUUCAUCAUCUGGUUCCUCAUCAUCUUGACUGCCCUUCAAUCAAAGGGCCAAUUUUACAUUCAACUAUACAGAAGUGGCCCAAGGCAAGUGUAUGAGCCCAGUGGGAAUAGAUGAUAAUGAAUGCAAAUAAACAAUUAGAUUGGAGAUUUCCUACCAUGGAAGGCAUUUUAGGUAGCUUUGCUUGUGAGCAUUGUAGUGAGAAUUCCUCAUCUGAAGAGCCAGCCUUGAAGAACACAAAAACAAAUUUAAUUGCAAGUUGCUUCAAAGAUAACCAUCACAAUUUAGGUACUGUAUUGUAUUUUAGUUCUUCACAGUAGACAAAGUAGUAAA